UAUGAUUAUUUGCCUAAAUAUUUCCCUGCCU
RNAcentral lists this non-coding RNA (31 nucleotides) under Rattus norvegicus (Norway rat). The record is from RNAcentral. Lineage: Eukaryota; Metazoa; Chordata; Mammalia; Rodentia; Muridae.